GCACUCAGAGUCUUGCUACUGUUUACCCUUAUUGCUAGUUACUGUUUAUCCUUAUUGCUAGUUAUCUUAGCUUUGUUGAGAAAAUUUUUGCAGUGGACUUGGUAGCCCUUGUUACCAACUUUGAUAUAAGACGAAUUAGAAUGAGUUCCAUGUUUGACUCUUUACCCUUGCUUCAGCCAAAAUGUAACUCUGUUACAAUGUUAACUGGUACAUUGAUAGGGCAUCAUCAAAAUUUGAUGGGCUUGGGAUGGUGACCCAUCCUGAAGAUUGAAUCCGUUGUUUAAAAACUUUUGGUUUAGGGAACAUUUCCACGUAACUUCAGUUAGAAGAAUAGAUGCCUGAUGAUACAU
Molecule: unclassified non-coding RNA, 350 nt
Filed under: Hevea brasiliensis (rubber tree)
Lineage: Eukaryota; Viridiplantae; Streptophyta; Magnoliopsida; Malpighiales; Euphorbiaceae
Source: RNAcentral